CUCUCUCAUCUUUUAAACUCCUCUAUUGAAAAUUAAAGGUCUCUCUCAAUUUUUUCAUUUUUGUCUUUUGAAGGUCUCCUUUGUUGGUAAUUUUCAAUAUCCUAUCUAGUGAAGAUUUUCAAUAGAGGAGUAUGGGUACACUCAAGUUAUUGAUUCAAUGGCAAGCUCCAAUGCUGGUAUGACCAAAUAUGGAGCUCUAGCUAAAGUAUAUUUUGAGAAGCUUCGAUGGACAGCAAAACUGAGCAGAAAAUAAAAAUAGAGUACCAUAAAUUUGCAGAAAAUGUGUUCUGCACAGGAAUUGCAUUUGUUCCCAAAACAGGAGCGGAAGAAGAAGAUGAUAGCUGGAUUAUCACUUAUGUUCACAAUGAAAAGAGCAAUGUGUCUCAAGUAAUUAAACUAAAAUAAACCUAAAUAAUCUUUUUAUUGUUGAUCAUUAACUUAAUUAUCAAUUAAUUGGAUAUGAGCCAAUUGCAAUUAAAA
This is a long non-coding RNA of Jatropha curcas, 480 nucleotides long. RefSeq lists it as uncharacterized. Lineage: Eukaryota; Viridiplantae; Streptophyta; Magnoliopsida; Malpighiales; Euphorbiaceae. The record is from RefSeq and is a predicted model, not a curated record.